CUACGGGUCGCUCCAGUGAGGAAUAUUGCACAAUGGGGGGAGCCCUGAUGCAGCAACGCCGCAUGGAGGAUGACGCAUUUCGGUGUGUAAACUCCUUUUAUAUGUCAAGAAAAUGACGGUAGCAUAUGAAUAAGCGCCGGCUAACUCCGUGCCAGCAGCCGCGGUAAUACGGAGGGCGCAAGCGUUACUCGGAAUCACUGGGCGUAAAGGACGCGUAGGCGGGUUGAAAAGUCAGGUGUGAAAGCCUACAGCUUAACUGUAGAACUGCACUUGAAACUCUCAAUCUAGAGUAUGGGAGGGGCAGAUGGAAUUAGUGGUGUAGGGGUAAAAUCCGUAGAUAUCACUAGGAAUACCUAAAGCGAAGGCGAUCUGCUGGAACAUUACUGACGCUGAGGCGCGAAAGCGUGGGGAGCAAACAGGAUUAGAUACCCCGGUAGUC
This 439-nucleotide ribosomal RNA is filed under the name uncultured bacterium. RNAcentral describes it as "partial 16S ribosomal RNA". It matches the Rfam family "Bacterial small subunit ribosomal RNA", at positions 339 to 795 of the family's 1533-position model. The record is from RNAcentral.